CAGACAUACCUGCGGAUAAUCAGCCUUUCGGGUGCGAUUCUGUGAGGCGUGAGGAGCUUAACCGCCUUCAUGUUUUGCCAUAUUCGUGCAACAUUUGGUGUACUUGUCCGUGU
Molecule: ribosomal RNA, 113 nt
Filed under: Rhizophagus irregularis
Lineage: Eukaryota; Fungi; Glomeromycota; Glomeromycetes; Glomerales; Glomeraceae
Source: RNAcentral